ACAGCAGCCGCCACGGUAAUACGGAGGGUGCAAGCGUUAAUCGGAAUUACUGGGCGUAAAGCGCACGCAGGCGGUCUGUCAAGUCGGAUGUGAAAUCCCCGGGCUCAACCUGGGAACUGCAUUCGAAACUGGCAGGCUAGAGUCUUGUAGAGGGGGGUAGAAUUCCAGGUGUAGCGGUGAAAUGCGUAGAGAUCUGGAGGAAUACCGGUGGCGAAGGCGGCCCCCUGGACAAAGACUGACGCUCAGGUGCGAAAGCGUGGGGAGCAAACAGGAUUAGAUACCCCUGUAGUCCCUGUCUCUUAUAC
RNAcentral lists this ribosomal RNA (305 nucleotides) under uncultured bacterium. RNAcentral's name for it is "partial 16S ribosomal RNA". It matches the Rfam family "Bacterial small subunit ribosomal RNA", at positions 508 to 807 of the family's 1533-position model. The record is from RNAcentral.